GGGGCGACCGAGCGCAGCACUAUACCCUUUGUGACAUACCUAACCGUUGCUUCGGCGGGCAGGGGAAGCCUCUCGCGGGCCUCCCCUCCCGGCGCCGGCCCCCACCACGGGGACGGGGCGCCCGCCGGAGGAAACCAAACUCUAUUUACACGACGUCUCUUCUGAGUGGCACAAGCAAAUAAUUAAAACUUUUAACAACGGAUCUCUUGGUUCUGGCAUCGAUGAAGAACGCAGCGAAAUGCGAUAAGUAAUGUGAAUUGCAGAAUUCAGUGAAUCAUCGAAUCUUUGAACGCACAUUGCGCUCGCCAGCAUUCUGGCGAGCAUGCCUGUUCGAGCGUCAUUUCAACCCUCAAGCACCGCUUGGUUUUGGGGCCCCACGGCACACGUGGGCCCUUAAAGGUAGUGGCGGACCCUCCCGGAGCCUCCUUUGCGUAGUAACUAACGUCUCGCACUGGGAUUCGGAGGGACUCUUGCCGUAAAACCCCCAAAUUUUUUACAGGUUGACCUCGGAUCAGGUAGGAAUACCCGCUGAACUUAAGCAUAUCUAAAGGGGAAGGAAAAAACCCAGAUAAGG
RNAcentral lists this ribosomal RNA (574 nucleotides) under Colletotrichum acutatum. Its description in RNAcentral is "eukaryotic LSU rRNA". The stretch from base 187 to 340 matches the Rfam family "5.8S ribosomal RNA". Lineage: Eukaryota; Fungi; Ascomycota; Sordariomycetes; Glomerellales; Glomerellaceae. The record is from RNAcentral.